RNAcentral lists this ribosomal RNA (504 nucleotides) under uncultured bacterium. RNAcentral describes it as "partial 16S ribosomal RNA". It matches the Rfam family "Bacterial small subunit ribosomal RNA", at positions 29 to 523 of the family's 1533-position model. The record is from RNAcentral.
AUUGAACGCUGGCGGCAGGCCUAACACAUGCAAGUCGAACGGUAGCACAAAGAGCUUGCUCUCGGGUGACGAGUGGCGGACGGGUGAGUAAUGUCUGGGAAACUGCCCGAUGGAGGGGGAUAACUACUGGAAACGGUAGCUAAUACCGCAUAACGUCGCAAGACCAAAGUGGGGGACCUUCGGGCCUCACACCAUCGGAUGUGCCCAGAUGGGAUUAGCUAGUAGGUGGGGUAAUGGCUCACCUAGGCGACGAUCCCUAGCUGGUCUGAGAGGAUGACCAGCCACACUGGAACCGAGACACGGGCCAGACUCCUACGGGAGGCAGCAGUGGGGAAUAUUGCACAAUGGGCGCAAGCCUGAUGCAGCCAUGCCGCGUGUAUGAAGAAGGCCUUCGGGUUGUAAAGUACUUUCAGCGGGGAGGAAGGCGGUGGAGUUAAUAACUUCACCGAUUGACGUUACCCGCAGAAGAAGCACCGGCUAACUCCGUGCCAGCCGCCGCAGUAA